Molecule: small nuclear RNA, 124 nt
Organism: Varanus komodoensis (Komodo dragon)
Lineage: Eukaryota; Metazoa; Chordata; Lepidosauria; Squamata; Varanidae
Source: Ensembl
GUGUUGCGUGAAAGGAAAGAUUAGUACUUCCCUUGAUAAGAAUGGAAGAAGUCCCGGGGUCCGUGUGACCUGCAUAGGGCUAAGGAACUGCCAUGUACUUUGUGGCACCUAACCAGCUUUCAUA